GGCAUGCAAGUCGAACGAGACUUCAUUUAGUAGCAAUACCGAGUGAAGUUUAGUGGCGAACGGGUGCGUAACACGUGGGGAAUCUGCCGAGAAGUGGGGGAUAGCUCGUCGAAAGGCGAAUUAAUACCGCAUAUGAUCAGGAAAGACAUCUUUCCAACAUCAAAGCCGGGGCAACCUGGCGCUUCUUGAUGACCCCGCGGCCUAUCAGCUAGUUGGUGAGGUAACGGCCCACCAAGGCUACGACGGGUAGCUGGUCUGAGAGGACGACCAGUCACACUGGAACUGAGACACGGUCCAGACACCUACGGGUGGCAGCAGUCGAGAAUUUUUCUCAAUGGGGGCAACCCUGAAGGAGCGACGCCGCGUGGAGGAUGAAGGCUUUCGGGUUGUAAACUCCUGUCAUUUGAGAACAAGUGCCAACAAGUAACUACUGUUGGCUUGAUAGUAUCAGAAGAGGAAGGGACGGCUAACUCUGUGCCAGCAGCCGCGGUAAUACAGAGGUCCCAAGCGUUGUUCGGAUUCAUUGGGCGUAAAGGGUGCGUAGGUGGCGUGGUAAGUCGGGUGUGAAAUUUCGGAGCUUAACUCCGAAACUGCAUUCGAUACUGCCGUGCUUGAGGACUGGAGAGGAGACUGGAAUUUACGGUGUAGCAGUGAAAUGCGUAGAGAUCGUAAGGAAGACCAGUGGCGAAGGCGGGUCUCUGGACAGUUCCUGACACU
RNAcentral lists this ribosomal RNA (717 nucleotides) under uncultured soil bacterium. RNAcentral describes it as "bacterial SSU rRNA". It matches the Rfam family "Bacterial small subunit ribosomal RNA", at positions 52 to 747 of the family's 1533-position model. The record is from RNAcentral.